RNAcentral lists this ribosomal RNA (488 nucleotides) under Bacteroidetes bacterium enrichment culture clone NKiF2S1. RNAcentral's name for it is "bacterial SSU rRNA". It matches the Rfam family "Bacterial small subunit ribosomal RNA", at positions 1 to 489 of the family's 1533-position model. The record is from RNAcentral. Lineage: Bacteria; Pseudomonadati; Bacteroidota.
UUAGAGUUUGAUCCUGGCUCAGGAUGAACGCUAGCGACAGGCCUAACACAUGCAAGUCGAGGGGUAACAUGAGAGCUUGCUCUUGAUGACGACCGGCGCACGGGUGAGUAACGCGUAUGCAACCUUCCUUUAACAGGAGAAUAGCCCCCGGAAACGGGGAUUAAUGCUCCAUGGCACUCUAUAUACGCCUGUAUAAAGAGUUAAAGUUACGACGGUUAAAGAUGGGCAUGCGUGACAUUAGUUAGUUGGCGGGGUAACGGCCCACCAAGGCAACGAUGUCUAGGGGUUCUGAGAGGAAGGUCCCCCACACUGGUACUGAGACACGGACCAGACUCCUACGGGAGGCAGCAGUGAGGAAUAUUGGUCAAUGGACGGAAGUCUGAACCAGCCAUGUCGCGUGCAGGAUGACUGCCCUAUGGGUUGUAAACUGCUUUUGUACGGGAAGAAAAUUAGUUACGUGUAACUAUCUGCCGGUACCGUACGAAUAA